CCCGACUCCUGUAAGACAAAAGAAACCUAGAUAAAUCUACGAAACAUAAUCCUAACCCACAAAUAAAGCCUCACAUCCCGAGAUUAGGAAAAUGAGCGUAGCCAAACAAGCCUUUAAGCUCAAAGUGCUCCAAAACUAAGUUCAGCUAGAAAAAGAGACCAAGCAUGAGCAGCAUUUUGAAACAACCGUGGGCCCCAAUGCAUAGG
This 206-nucleotide long non-coding RNA is filed under the name Panax ginseng (ginseng). RNAcentral's name for it is "long non-coding RNA (PGIN_LNC003069)". The record is from RNAcentral. Lineage: Eukaryota; Viridiplantae; Streptophyta; Magnoliopsida; Apiales; Araliaceae.